ACGAUACUUGUAUUUUUUUUACCUUCAUUAUUAUUUUCUUUCGUCGUUGAGUCACUAAAACACUGCAGUUUAAAUUAUGAGAAAUAUAAUAUUCUCGCGAGUCAUUGAAGGCUUGAUACAACAUAUCUGCCAAGGGCACAGAGUGCACGUUAUUUAGUACGAAAAAUAAAUGAAGAUUAAACUGAAUGUGUCAAAUAGAUACUUUGGAGCUGCUGAUUAAAUUGAUCCACUCGUUUUACACGUUAAGAGCCCAUUGAACGACGAAGAAGACGAUGAAGAUAGUGAUGGAGAAAAUGAUGAACCACAAAAAACAAAGAUCCUACCAGCCAGCCAAGAACCACCAACAAAA
This is a long non-coding RNA of Engraulis encrasicolus (European anchovy), 349 nucleotides long. RefSeq lists it as uncharacterized. The record is from RefSeq and is a predicted model, not a curated record. The transcript has 2 exons. Lineage: Eukaryota; Metazoa; Chordata; Actinopteri; Clupeiformes; Engraulidae.